AGAGUUUGAUCAUGGCUCAGAUUGAACGCUGGCGGCAUGCUUUACACAUGCAAGUCGAACGCGAAAGCGGGGGCAACCCGCAAGUAGAGUGGCGAACGGGUGAGUAAUACAUCGGAACGCGCCCUUUAGUGGGGGACAACGCCGAGAAAUCGGCGCUAAUACCGCAUACGCCCGAGAGGGGAAAGCGGGGGACCGCAAGGCCUCGCGCUGUUGGAGCGGCCGAUGUCCGAUUAGCUAGUUGGUGGGGUAAAGGCUCACCAAGGCGACGAUCGGUAGCUGGUCUGAGAGGAUGAUCAGCCACACUGGGACUGAGACACGGCCCAGACUCCUACGGGAGGCAGCAGUGGGGAAUUUUGGACAAUGGGGGCAACCCUGAUCCAGCCAUGCCGCGUGAGUGAAGAAGGCCUUCGGGUUGUAAAGCUCUUUCGGCCGGAACGAAAUCGCGCGGGCGAACAAUCCGCGUGGAUGACGGUACCGGAAUAAGAAGCACCGGCUAACUACGUGCCAGCAGCCGCGGUAAUACGUAGGGUGCAAGCGUUAAUCGGAAUUACUGGGCGUAAAGCGUGCGCAGGCGGUCGCGUAAGCCAGAUGUGAAAGCCCCGGGCUUAACCUGGGAAUUGCAUUUGGUACUGCGUGGCUAGAGUGCGGCAGAGGGAGGUGGAAUUCCUGGUAGCAGUGAAAUGCGUAGAUAUCAGGAGGAACACCGAUGGCGAAGGCAGCCUCCUGGGCCAGCACUGACGCUCAUGCACGAAAGCGUGGGGAGCAAACAGGAUUAGAUACCCUAGUAGUCC
RNAcentral lists this ribosomal RNA (791 nucleotides) under uncultured bacterium. RNAcentral's name for it is "bacterial SSU rRNA". It matches the Rfam family "Bacterial small subunit ribosomal RNA", at positions 8 to 796 of the family's 1533-position model. The record is from RNAcentral.